RNAcentral lists this transfer RNA (86 nucleotides) under Thiomicrospira sp. Its description in RNAcentral is "tRNA-Leu". It matches the Rfam family "tRNA". From Rfam's summary of the family: Transfer RNA (tRNA) molecules are approximately 80 nucleotides in length. The record is from RNAcentral. Lineage: Bacteria; Pseudomonadati; Pseudomonadota; Gammaproteobacteria; Thiotrichales; Piscirickettsiaceae. RNAcentral also lists the same sequence under 1 other name.
GCCCGGAUGGCGGAACUGGUAGACGCAAGGGACUUAAAAUCCCUCGGCCUUUGGCCGUCCGAGUUCGAUUCUCGGUCCGGGCACCA